UACGGAGGGUGCAAGCAUUAAUCGGAUUUAUUGGGCGUAAAGGGCGUGUAGGCGGGGCUGCAAGUCAGAUGUGAAAUCCCGAGGCUCAACCUCGGAACAGCAUUUGAAACUACAACUCUAGAGGGUAGGCGGGGAAAAUGGAAUUCCACAUGUAGCGGUGAAAUGCGUAGAUAUGUGGAGGAACACCGGUGGCGAAGGCGGUUUUCUAGCUUAUACCUGACGCUGAGGCGCGAAAGCUAGGGGAGCAAACAGG
Molecule: ribosomal RNA, 253 nt
Filed under: uncultured bacterium
Lineage: Bacteria
Description: partial 16S ribosomal RNA
Rfam family: Bacterial small subunit ribosomal RNA
Source: RNAcentral